GAUGAACGCUGGCGGCGUGCCUAAUACAUGCAAGUCGAGCGAACAGACGAGGAGCUUGCUCCUCUGACGUUAGCGGCGGACGGGUGAGUAGCACGUGGAUAACCUACCUAUAAGACUGGGAUAACUUCGGGACACCGGAGCUUAUCCCGGAUAAUAUAUUGAACCGCAUGGUUCAAUAGAGAAAGACGGCUUUGCUGUCACUUCUAGAUGGAUCCGCGCCGCAUUAGCUGGUUGGUAAGGUAACGGCUUACCAAGGCAACGAUGCGUAGCCGACCUGAGAGGGUGAUCGGCCACACUGGAACUGAGACACGGUCCAGACUCCUACGGGAGGCAGCAGUAGGGAAUCUUCCGCAAUGGUCGAAAGCCUGACGGAGCAACGCCGCGUGAGUGAUGAAGGUCUUCGGAUCGUAAAACUCUGUUAUUAGGGAAGAACAAAUGUGUAAGUAACUAUGCACGUCUUGACGGUACCUAAUCAGAAAGCCACGGCUAACUACGUG
This 497-nucleotide ribosomal RNA is filed under the name uncultured bacterium. RNAcentral describes it as "partial 16S ribosomal RNA". It matches the Rfam family "Bacterial small subunit ribosomal RNA", at positions 28 to 507 of the family's 1533-position model. The record is from RNAcentral.